This 922-nucleotide long non-coding RNA is filed under the name Musa acuminata (dwarf banana). RNAcentral's name for it is "long non-coding RNA (MACU_LNC006018)". The record is from RNAcentral. Lineage: Eukaryota; Viridiplantae; Streptophyta; Magnoliopsida; Zingiberales; Musaceae.
AGUUACAUGUUUUCCUGAAACAGGUAACUGCUAAUCCUAUUUGUUUGUUUGUAGCCUUUAAUCUUCGUCUGCAUUUUAUGAAUCCACCUGUUUGGUUUGUGUUUCCAUAUUAAUAUUCUGUGACUAAUGCUUGUAAUUUUCUUUUUUAAUGUAAAAACAAAGUCAAGUAGGUGGAUUGUUGUAAAUUAUAUGUUCAGCUGGAUGGCUUUCUUUUGCAAGGAUCUGAUAGAGUACUUAUGAAUCCACCUGUUUGGUUUGUGUUUCCAUAUUAAUAUUCUGUGACUAAUGCUUGUAAUUUUCUUUUUUAAUGUAAAAACAAAGUCAAGUAGGUGGAUUGUUGUAAAUUAUAUGUUCUCAGCCGGAUGGCUUUCUUUUGCAAGGAUCUGAUAGAGUAUACUAUGGUAUAUUUAGAAACAAUCAUCCCACAAAGUGCCAAAAUUUUAACUAAACAAAUUUUCUGAUGUCUGAAGUAAAUGCAAGCACUUCAUGGGAUGCUCUAUGUUAGUGAUGGUGAGUGGCGACUUUCAAUUAUUUAUGUUUAUUAAAAUGUUUACUGCUGCUUGACGUGAAUUUCCAUUUGCCAAUUGGACUUGAUGAGAGGCAUAUUGCUAUAUCUGUAAAUUUAUUUCAUUAGGGGCUUUGUAUAUGUAAGUGACUUAUUUUCCUAGCAAUCAAUAAUAGUUUGGUCAUUUUCAUAGAGCUGACACAUGUUGUCCUAUAAAUUUUUUACCACAGCCUGAUUUUGUCUUACAAAGUUCCUACUGAACUCAAUUGCUGAUUAGAUCCAUAUACAUUGUUUUUUCAUUUUUAUCUAUCUUCUGAAGUUAUCUUUGUUCUUUUGUAUCCUUAAACUAUUAGCCUAUCUAAUUAUUAAUUUCUGGAUAGUUUCUAGACCAGUAUAUGAUUUUCUGUGAUUGUGACU